CACCUACGGGGGGCAGCAGUGGGGAAUUUUGGACAAUGGGCGCAAGCCUGAUCCAGCUAUUCCGCGUGUGGGAUGAAGGCCCUCGGGUUGUAAACCACUUUUGUAGAGAACGAAAAGACACCUUUUAAUAAAGGGUGUUGCUGACGGUACUCUAAGAAUAAGCACCGGCUAACUACGUGCCAGCAGCCGCGGUAAUACGUAGGGUGCGAGCGUUAAUCGGAAUUACUGGGCGUAAAGGGUGCGCAGGCGGUUGAGUAAGACAGAUGUGAAAUCGCCGAGCUUAAAUUGGGAAUGGGAUAUGUGAA
RNAcentral lists this ribosomal RNA (305 nucleotides) under uncultured bacterium. Its description in RNAcentral is "bacterial SSU rRNA". It matches the Rfam family "Bacterial small subunit ribosomal RNA", at positions 335 to 633 of the family's 1533-position model. The record is from RNAcentral.